RNAcentral lists this ribosomal RNA (372 nucleotides) under uncultured Glomeromycotina. Its description in RNAcentral is "LSU rRNA". Lineage: Eukaryota; Fungi; Glomeromycota. The record is from RNAcentral.
UUGAAAGGGAAACGAUUGAAUUCAAUUGUACCGNCGAGAAAUCAACUUUUCGAAUGUGCAUUGGUGGGCGUAUGAGAGCUUCACGUCCUUGUUGUUUGCAAUAUGUAUAUUUCUUUGGUGUACUUUUUCGUAUGGUAGGUCAAUUUCGCUUCAGUUCCCCAUAAAAUGAUAGGACGAAAGUGACUUCGGCCUCGGUUGAAGUGUAUUACCCUAGGUAAAUGUGGUGAUUAGGACCGAGGAUUGCAACGAAUACCUUUUAGGCUAUCCGUCUNGCUCUGAAAGUUACUUGGGUGACGAAAGCUUGCUGACGUCCAUAUAAUUCGCCGGUCAAAAGGCUAGAGCGUGAUCAAAUUCGUUAAGGAUGUUGACGUA